Non-coding RNA from Acanthosepion pharaonis, 112 nucleotides. Lineage: Eukaryota; Metazoa; Mollusca; Cephalopoda; Sepiida; Sepiidae. The record is from the annotation of a GenBank genome assembly.
UUCGUUCAUAUCACGAUGAAAUACCGGUUCCCGGAAAAUCACCGAAGUUAAGCAACAUCAAGCCUAGUUAAUACCUAGAUGGGUAACCGCUUGGGAAUACCAGGUGCUGUCA